CCUGGUCAUCGACGUAUUGAUUCGCUCUUAGGGACUGGAGAUUUUCGACAAGGGUUUUCUUCCCCGUUGAGACGAGGUCCCUUGAACCUCGGAUGCAGCUCAUUAUUACUUUUUUUUUUGUGUAGCUUGUCGCUUUUUCUUCUUCUUUUUUGUGUUAGGGUGAGGGUUUUUCCUUCUGCUCCUAACGGGAUUGUAGGGGUGUAGAGGAGUUGCUGAGGGGCUUUUCCCUUCAUCCGAUCUCAAAUGACUAGAUCUUUGUUUGUGUUAGGACGAGAUUCUCCUCCUGUUCC
RNAcentral lists this long non-coding RNA (290 nucleotides) under Elaeis guineensis (African oil palm). Its description in RNAcentral is "long non-coding RNA (EGUI_LNC072037)". The record is from RNAcentral. Lineage: Eukaryota; Viridiplantae; Streptophyta; Magnoliopsida; Arecales; Arecaceae.